RNAcentral lists this non-coding RNA (30 nucleotides) under Homo sapiens (human). The record is from RNAcentral. Lineage: Eukaryota; Metazoa; Chordata; Mammalia; Primates; Hominidae.
CUGUGAAACAGGUGAAGUGGGAUCUGAAGG